Molecule: ribosomal RNA, 371 nt
Filed under: uncultured bacterium
Lineage: Bacteria
Description: bacterial SSU rRNA
Rfam family: Bacterial small subunit ribosomal RNA
Source: RNAcentral
AGGGGGGGCAAGCGUUGUUCGGAAUUACUGGGCGUAAAGGGUUCGUAGGUGGCCACUUAAGUCAGACGUGAAAUCCCUCAGCUUAACUGGGGAACUGCGUCUGAUACUGGAUGGCUUGAGUGCAGGAGAGGAAUGCGGAAUUCCAGGUGUAGCGGUGAAAUGCGUAGAUAUCUGGAGGAACACCGGUGGCGAAGGCGGCAUUCUGGACUGUAACUGACACUGAGGAACGAAAGCCAGGGGAGCAAACGGGAUUAGAUACCCCGGUAGUCCUGGCCCUAAACGAUGAAUGCUUGGUGUGGCGGGUAUCGAUCCCUGCCGUGCCGAAGUUAACGCGAUAAGCAUUCCGCCUGGGGAGUACGGUCGCAAGGCUG